Molecule: ribosomal RNA, 301 nt
Filed under: uncultured bacterium
Lineage: Bacteria
Description: partial 16S ribosomal RNA
Rfam family: Bacterial small subunit ribosomal RNA
Source: RNAcentral
CAGCAGCCACGAUAAUACGGAGGGAGCUAGCGUUGUUCGGAAUCACUGGGCGUAAAGCGCACGUAGGCGGCUAUUCAAGUCAGGGGUGAAAGCCCGGGGCUCAACCCCGGAACUGCCUUUGAAAUUAGAUAGCUUGAAUCUUGGAGAGGCGAGUGGAAUUCCGAGUGUAGAGGUGAAAUUCGUAGAUAUUCGGAAGAACACCAGUGGCGAAGGCGACUCGCUGGACAAGUAUUGACGCUGAGGUGCGAAAGCGUGGGGAGCAAACAGGAUUAGAUACCCCGGUAGUCCCUGUCUCUUAUAC